UUCAAUCUAUAUGGUACAAAGGUAUUACAUCGGCACAGCGACACUACACCUGCCACGGUUGCUCCAUGCAAGUAGCAGAACAACACGAAGUAGCGGAAUAUCUACUGGCGGCAGAACAGCGACGACGGUGAUGAACUCCACUCCGCAGGGACUCUGGCUGGAACGCUUAUCCUAGCUCGCAAACACGGACUCCACGGUAAACAAGCAAUCAAAUCCGGCAUGACCUGCAAACUGGCAUGACACGCUAGGUCGGUACAUUGAAUGUACUUGCAAGCUCACAACAACCAAAGCAAUCAAGACAGACAACAGCAUGGCAAUUACAGGUUAACAAGGAUUAACAUGAUACUAUCGGAACAACAUGGUAUGAAUAACAUGAUACAGCUAGAACAAUACGAGCAUGGCAUAACAUAUAAACAAGAUGACACUAUCAUGCAACAUGAUGACGUUAUCAUGCACCAACUUACUUUGUUCGGUUUACCUCGUAACCAUCACGGACAUCACACGAUCAUCUCAGGAUCCAAUCAGGCUUGGUAUUAACAAUACCAUAGUAAGCAUUACAUGACCACAAGGAGCUUGAUCUUUACCAUUGACUCUCGCAUAAUACCACAAAUAUCCAUCAACUCGGUAUCCUCGAUACCACGGUGAUCAUCUCACGGUCACAAUCAACUUCUUUCUCAUCAUCGAACCAGGGUUGUUAUUAAGCACAUUAUUAUUAUUACUGUCGACCCACAGUGUGACCAACUACGAAUUGGGCCCUUAUCCGUGGGCGCGACUACCGAUAGAUUUAAUACACACUUUGCAGAGGUAGCGCACUAUACCCACACCACGGAACCCAUGGCCUCGCACUCCAUUCGGGUGGACCAACGGCGUUCCGACAAAACCGUCCUAUUGCCAUGACACUCUCCGGCCACUCUGACCAACUCCCCUUUGGGCUAAGUCAUGGGUGGCCCCGUGCCUACCAAAGGCAUCAACGGCCACCGUCGUGGCAAAACAUAAACGGUCCCAAACGGGGACAAAAGCGCGCAAAACAACUCGGGCACACAAGGCUUAUGCUGUCCUACCCGGCCAAGGUAGCGCCCGCGCAUAGCCUUCCCUCGUGGGAGGCACCAACGAGAGGCAUGACAAUAGACCUAGUUAGGACCUCCCCAUAAAGGCAAAUGUGAUUGCACUGGUCAGCUCGAUAUAGUGGCACCAUGACUCAGCGAACAGUUGUUCAAGUUCAAUUUAAUCCGGUUAAACUUGAAUGCACUAUACUGAGCCAUGAUAAAAUAACAUGAUGCAAUUGUCACGCAUGAUAUCAACAUGAGCAUGGAUGUACAACAUAAUCAUCAAGCAUAUGAACAACGAUCAAUCAUAUCCAACUGAGCAUGGCAUACUGACGAGUAUGAAUAACACAAGUAUAACACUACAGAUAAGCAUAGCAUAACCACUAGCAUCAGAAAUAAAUACUAUGCCAGAAUAUAACGAUAACACUACCAAGUAAUCAUGUAACCAGGUAGAUGCAAAGGAACAUGCAUAUUCACUGUACUUGGUAGCAGGCAAUAGUCAUGCACCGAAGAACAUGACCAACACCAACAUGUACUACUACCAAACAUGUCAUACGAGAAUAAUACAAGCAAGAAUACGUGAUAACCAUGUGCAUAAAAACAUAGCAUGAAAGUGAACACAAAUCCAUAAGCAUCACCGAACCAACGAUAACCGAAUUAAAACAAGCAGACAUUUAUUAAAUAUUCAAGUUGAAAACCAUGGCUACUGCAUGGCCAUCAUGCAAGUGGGUCUUGUGGCAUGCCUGGGGAUGAAGAAUGCACCGGGGAGGAGUGCGGAACGAUCGCGGAAAGAUUCGCCGGAAACAGUUCUCUCUCGGAGGGGCUAUUUACGGGCAAGGGCAAAAUGGUCAUUUCCAUUAUGUCAAACCAUAGUGAAAAUGAUAUCAAAAGUUCGGGCUCGAAGAGACGAAGAUGUGGGCGUUGGAUUCACCUCAAUCGGAGUCUCGAGCAAAAAGUUAUAGCCCGGCGAAGUUCAGGGACCAAUCUGUAAAAAUAACUCUACAAACAGGCCCUUGGCUGGAAAAUCAGAAAGCGCAUUUCUCAGAUUACAUCUUCAGAAAGUGAAAACGUAUUUUAAGCCGAAGGAGAAACAGAAUGUGUUUUCUUAAAAGGAAAGCGUUUUACCAAAAAUACGCCUUCACUAAAAACGGCCAGCGGGGCCACUGGGUCAACACGGGGAACUUACAGGUGGGGUCUGCCACUUAUCCACAUGGGCAGGACGGAGUCAACGUUGGGUAGCUGACGAGAGGGUCCCACGUGCUGGUGGGGCCCGCCCGGCCGGUCGUCGCCUUCAACCUCGCGCUCGUCCGCGAGGCAGAGCAGAGGCGCACGAUGCGGGCGGCCGUCCCGGCGAUCUGGUCCACCCCCGGCGACGCUCCGCACACGGACGAGCUUGGGAAGAUGAGGUGCUCCUGCCUGGACCCUUCACGCACGCCGAGGGGCAUCAGAGAGAGUCAGUCUUGGCCGGGGCGGACGGCGGUUCCGUCCGGAGUUGAGCACGGGGCUACGGCCGCUCCGGGGAUGAGGCGAAUGGGUGGGGAGGCUCAGCAUGCUUCGGUGGAUCUACUGGUGGGGAGAGGAGGAGGGGAGAGAGCCUGGCUGCCGCAAAUUUAGUUGGGCUCCGGCGAGAGGCACUACGGCCAUGGGGGUCAAGGAGAGCUCCAGUAGC
Molecule: long non-coding RNA, 2715 nt
Filed under: Triticum aestivum (bread wheat)
Lineage: Eukaryota; Viridiplantae; Streptophyta; Magnoliopsida; Poales; Poaceae
Description: long non-coding RNA (TAES_LNC004149)
Source: RNAcentral